CUCUGGAUUCGCAAAGAGUCCAGGGCGGAAAGAG
Paenibacillus sp. is the source of this 34-nucleotide non-coding RNA. The record is from Rfam. NCBI's taxonomy places the organism in Bacteria, Bacillati, Bacillota, Bacilli, Caryophanales, Paenibacillaceae.